GCUAGACGAGCCGGGAGAUGAGAUUGACGAUCUGGAUCGUUAGGCGAGCUGAAGAGCUUGAAGACGAGCUGAAGAGCUUGAUGACGAACUGAGGAGCUUGAAGACGAGAUGAAUAGCUUGCAGACGAGCUGAAGAGCUUGAUGACGAGCUGAAGAGCUUGAUGACGAGCUGAAGAGCUUGCAGACGAGCUGAAGAGCUUGAUGACGAGCUGAAGAGCUUGAUGACGAGCUGAAGAGUUUGAUGACGAGCUGAAGAGCUUGAAGACGUUUUUAGUAUG
RNAcentral lists this long non-coding RNA (277 nucleotides) under Arabidopsis lyrata. RNAcentral describes it as "long non-coding RNA (ALYR_LNC002155)". Lineage: Eukaryota; Viridiplantae; Streptophyta; Magnoliopsida; Brassicales; Brassicaceae. The record is from RNAcentral.